UCAAAUACCAGUUAGUGAUAAGGUGAGA
This 28-nucleotide small RNA is filed under the name Bombyx mori (domestic silkworm). RNAcentral's name for it is "ovarian small RNA-24472". The record is from RNAcentral. Lineage: Eukaryota; Metazoa; Arthropoda; Insecta; Lepidoptera; Bombycidae.